GACGAACGCUGGCGGCGUGCUUAACACAUGCAAGUCGAACGCUGAAGCUCAGCUUUUGUUGGGUGGAUGAGUGGCGAACGGGUGAGUAACACGUGAGUAACCUGCCUCCUUCUUUGGGAUAACGCCCGGAAACGGGUGCUAAUACUGGAUAUUCACUGGUCUUCGCAUGGGGGUUGGUGGAAAGGGUUUUUCUGGUGGGGGAUGGGCUCGCGGCCUAUCAGCUUGUUGGUGGGGUGAUGGCCUACCAAGGCUUUGACGGGUAGCCGGCCUGGGAGGGUGACCGGUCACAUUGGGACUGAGAUACGGCCCAGACUCCUACGGGAGGCAGCAGUGGGGAAUAUUGCACAAUGGGCGCAAGCCUGAUGCAGCGACGCCGCGUGAGGGAUGGAGGCCUUCGGGUUGUGAACCUCUUUCGCUCAUGGUCAAGCCGCAACAAUGGUUGUGGUGAGGGUAGUGGGUAAAGAAGCGCCGGCUAACUACGUG
This 483-nucleotide ribosomal RNA is filed under the name uncultured bacterium. RNAcentral's name for it is "partial 16S ribosomal RNA". It matches the Rfam family "Bacterial small subunit ribosomal RNA", at positions 28 to 507 of the family's 1533-position model. The record is from RNAcentral.